This 324-nucleotide ribosomal RNA is filed under the name uncultured eukaryote. Its description in RNAcentral is "partial 18S ribosomal RNA". It matches the Rfam family "Eukaryotic small subunit ribosomal RNA", at positions 1470 to 1796 of the family's 1831-position model. The record is from RNAcentral.
CCCUUAGACGUUCUGGGCCGCACGCGCGCUACACUGACGAAGGCAACGAGCUUUCCUUUACCGAAAGGUACGGGUAAUCUUUUGAAACUUCGUCGUGCUGGGGAUAGAUCCUUGCAAUUAUUGAUCUUAAACGAGGAAUUCCUAGUAAGCGCAAGUCAUCAACUUGCGUUGAUUACGUCCCUGCCCUUUGUACACACCGCCCGUCGCACCUACCGAUUGAAUGGUCCGGUGAAGCCUCGGGAUUGUGGUUAGUUUCCUUCAUUGGAAGUUAGCCGCGAGAACUUGUCUAAACCUUAUCAUUUAGAGGAAGGUGAAGUCGUAACA